This 253-nucleotide ribosomal RNA is filed under the name uncultured bacterium. Its description in RNAcentral is "partial 16S ribosomal RNA". It matches the Rfam family "Bacterial small subunit ribosomal RNA", at positions 524 to 776 of the family's 1533-position model. The record is from RNAcentral.
UACAGAGGAUGCAAGCGUUAUCCGGAAUGAUUGGGCGUAAAGCGUCCGCAGGUGGUUUUGUAAGUCUGCUGUUAAAGCGUUAGGCUCAACCUAAUAAGGGCAGUGGAAACUAUGAGACUAGAGUAUGUUAGGGGUAGAGGGAAUUCCCAGUGUAGCGGUGAAAUGCGUAGAGAUCAGGAAGAACACCGGUGGCGAAAGCGCUCUGCUGGACCUUAACUGACACUGAGGGACGAAAGCUAGGGGAGCGAAUGGG